RNAcentral lists this ribosomal RNA (449 nucleotides) under uncultured bacterium. RNAcentral's name for it is "partial 16S ribosomal RNA". It matches the Rfam family "Bacterial small subunit ribosomal RNA", at positions 29 to 523 of the family's 1533-position model. The record is from RNAcentral.
AACGAACGCUGGCGGCAUGCCUAACACAUGCAAGUCGAACGAGACCUUCGGGUCUGGUGGCGCACGGGUGCGUAACGCGUGGGAAUCUACCCUUGGGUUCGGAAUAACAGUUAGAAAUGACUGCUAAUACCGGAUGAUGACGUAAGUCCAAAGAUUUAUCGCCCAAGGAUGAGCCCGCGUAAGAUUAGCUUGUUGGUGGGGUGAUGGCCUACCAAGGCGACGAUCUUUAGCUGGUCUGAGAGGAUGAUCAGCCACACUGGGACUGAGACACGGCCCAGACUCCUACGGGAGGCAGCAGUGGGGAAUAUUGGACAAUGGGCGAAAGCCUUCUCCAGCAAUGCCGCGUGAGUGAUGAAGGCCUUAGGGUUGUAAAGCUCUUUUACCAGGGAUGAUAAUGACAGUACCUGGAGAAUAAGCUCCGGCUAACUCCGUGCCAGCCGCCGCAGUAA